This is a non-coding RNA of Acanthosepion pharaonis, 107 nucleotides long. The record is from the annotation of a GenBank genome assembly. NCBI's taxonomy places the organism in Eukaryota, Metazoa, Mollusca, Cephalopoda, Sepiida, Sepiidae.
UUACGGCCAUUUCAGGUUGAAGCACCGUUUAUCGUAUGAUCACCUCAGUUAAGCAACAUCGAGCUUGGUCAGUACCUAGAUGGGUUACCAUUUGGGAAUGACAGAUA